UGCCCUUUGCAAAAUAAUUGAUGAAUAAAGGGUACUGCCUGCCCAGUGACGUUGUUAAACGGCCGCGGUAUUUUGACCGUGCAAAGGUAGCAUAAUCAUUUGCCUCUUAAAUAGAGGCUGGUAUGAAUGGCAAGACGGGAUUUAGCUGUCUCUUUCUUAUAUCUUGAAAUUGAUGUUUUUGUGAAGAAGCGGAAAUUAAUUCGUAGGACGAGAAGACCCUAUCGAGCUUUAAUGAGUAAUGGAUUUAGUAUUAUUAACCAGAUUGUGAAUCUAAUUAUAACCUAUGAAUGGGUUUGUUAGUUUUUAUUUUAUAAUUUGUUAGUAUUUGAAUUAGACAUUUUGAUUGGGGCAAUCAUGGAGAAGAAAAUCCUCCAUUAGUGAUAAUGAGAAAAGACGUUUUUAGUGUGUAUUUUAUGCAGUUAAGUGAUCCACUUGGAGAGAGUGAUCAAAGGAAUAAGUUACCGUAGGGAUAACAGCGUAAUUUUUUUAGAGAGUUCAUAUUGAUAAAAAAGUUUGCGACCUCGAUGUUGGAUCGGGAUUUCCAGGAGAUGCAGCAGUUUCCAAGGGUUGGUCUGUUCGACCAUUAAAAUCCU
Molecule: ribosomal RNA, 593 nt
Filed under: Zoroaster spinulosus
Lineage: Eukaryota; Metazoa; Echinodermata; Asteroidea; Forcipulatida; Zoroasteridae
Description: partial 16S ribosomal RNA
Rfam family: Bacterial large subunit ribosomal RNA
Source: RNAcentral